RNAcentral lists this ribosomal RNA (490 nucleotides) under uncultured bacterium. RNAcentral describes it as "partial 16S ribosomal RNA". It matches the Rfam family "Bacterial small subunit ribosomal RNA", at positions 30 to 507 of the family's 1533-position model. The record is from RNAcentral.
AUUGAACGCUGGCGGCAGGCCUAACACAUGCAAGUCGAACGGUAACAGGAAGAAGCUUGCUUCUUUGCUGACGAGUGGCGGACGGGUGAGUAAUGUCUGGGAAACUGCCUGAUGGAGGGGGAUAACUACUGGAAACGGUAGCUAAUACCGCAUAACGUCGCAAGACCAAAGAGGGGGACCUUCGGGCCUCUUGCCAUCGGAUGUGCCCAGAUGGGAUUAGCUAGUAGGUGGGGUAACGGCUCACGUAGGCGACGAUCCCUAGCUGGUCUGAGAGGAUGACCAGCCACACUGGAACUGAGACACGGUCCAGACUCCUACGGGAGGCAGCAGUGGGGAAUAUUGCACAAUGGGCGCAAGCCUGAUGUAGCCAGGCCGCGUGUAUGAAGAAGGCCUUCGGGUUGUAAAGUACUUUCAGCGGGGAGGAAGGGAGUAAAGUUAAUACCUUUGCUCAUUGACGUUACCCGCAGAAGAAGCACCAGCUAACUCCGUG